UGGGGGCUUAGCUUAGUUGGUAGAGCGUCUGAUUUGCAUUCAGAAGGUCAGGAGUUCGAAUCUCCUAGCCUCCAU
Molecule: transfer RNA, 75 nt
Filed under: Chlamydiota bacterium
Lineage: Bacteria; Pseudomonadati; Chlamydiota
Description: Chlamydiae bacterium tRNA-Ala
Rfam family: tRNA
About the family: Transfer RNA (tRNA) molecules are approximately 80 nucleotides in length.
Source: RNAcentral